CAUCUUUUGGUGGAAUUGUGUU
This 22-nucleotide non-coding RNA is filed under the name Arabidopsis thaliana (thale cress). Lineage: Eukaryota; Viridiplantae; Streptophyta; Magnoliopsida; Brassicales; Brassicaceae. The record is from RNAcentral.